Molecule: ribosomal RNA, 2900 nt
Filed under: Klebsiella pneumoniae BIDMC 36
Lineage: Bacteria; Pseudomonadati; Pseudomonadota; Gammaproteobacteria; Enterobacterales; Enterobacteriaceae
Description: bacterial LSU rRNA
Rfam family: Bacterial large subunit ribosomal RNA
Source: RNAcentral
UUAAGCGACUAAGCGUACACGGUGGAUGCCCUGGCAGUCAGAGGCGAUGAAGGACGUGCUAAUCUGCGAAAAGCGUCGGUAAGGUGAUAUGAACCGUUAUAGCCGGCGAUGUCCGAAUGGGGAAACCCAGUGUGAUUCGUCACACUAUCGUUAACUGAAUACAUAGGUUAACGAGGCGAACCGGGGGAACUGAAACAUCUAAGUACCCCGAGGAAAAGAAAUCAACCGAGAUUCCCCCAGUAGCGGCGAGCGAACGGGGAGCAGCCCAGAGUCUGAAUCAGCUUGUGUGUUAGUGGAACGGUCUGGAAAGUCCGACGGUACAGGGUGAUAGUCCCGUACACCAAAAUGCACAGGCUGUGAACUCGAAGAGUAGGGCGGGACACGUGGUAUCCUGUCUGAAUAUGGGGGGACCAUCCUCCAAGGCUAAAUACUCCUGACUGACCGAUAGUGAACCAGUACCGUGAGGGAAAGGCGAAAAGAACCCCGGCGAGGGGAGUGAAAAAGAACCUGAAACCGUGUACGUACAAGCAGUGGGAGCACCUUCGGGUGUGACUGCGUACCUUUUGUAUAAUGGGUCAGCGACUUAUAUUCUGUAGCAAGGUUAACCGUAUAGGGGAGCCGCAGGGAAACCGAGUCUUAACUGGGCGUUAAGUUGCAGGGUAUAGACCCGAAACCCGGUGAUCUAGCCAUGGGCAGGUUGAAGGUUGGGUAACACUAACUGGAGGACCGAACCGACUAAUGUUGAAAAAUUAGCGGAUGACUUGUGGCUGGGGGUGAAAGGCCAAUCAAACCGGGAGAUAGCUGGUUCUCCCCGAAAGCUAUUUAGGUAGCGCCUCGUGAACUCAUCUUCGGGGGUAGAGCACUGUUUCGGCUAGGGGGUCAUCCCGACUUACCAACCCGAUGCAAACUACGAAUACCGAAGAAUGUUAUCACGGGAGACACACGGCGGGUGCUAACGUCCGUCGUGAAGAGGGAAACAACCCAGACCGCCAGCUAAGGUCCCAAAGUCAUGGUUAAGUGGGAAACGAUGUGGGAAGGCACAGACAGCCAGGAUGUUGGCUUAGAAGCAGCCAUCAUUUAAAGAAAGCGUAAUAGCUCACUGGUCGAGUCGGCCUGCGCGGAAGAUGUAACGGGGCUAAACCAUGCACCGAAGCUGCGGCAGCGACACUAUGUGUUGUUGGGUAGGGGAGCGUUCUGUAAGCCUGCGAAGGUGACCUGUGAGGGUUGCUGGAGGUAUCAGAAGUGCGAAUGCUGACAUAAGUAACGAUAAAGCGGGUGAAAAGCCCGCUCGCCGGAAGACCAAGGGUUCCUGUCCAACGUUAAUCGGGGCAGGGUGAGUCGACCCCUAAGGCGAGGCCGAAAGGCGUAGUCGAUGGGAAACAGGUUAAUAUUCCUGUACUUGGUGUUACUGCGAAGGGGGGACGGAGAAGGCUAUGUUAGCCGGGCGACGGUUGUCCCGGUUUAAGCAUGUAGGCUGGUUGUCCAGGCAAAUCCGGAUAAUCAAGGCUGAGGUGUGAUGACGAGGCACUACGGUGCUGAAGUAACAAAUGCCCUGCUUCCAGGAAAAGCCUCUAAGCAUCAGGUAACAUUAAAUCGUACCCCAAACCGACACAGGUGGUCAGGUAGAGAAUACCAAGGCGCUUGAGAGAACUCGGGUGAAGGAACUAGGCAAAAUGGUGCCGUAACUUCGGGAGAAGGCACGCUGGUGUGUAGGUGAAGUCCCUGCGGAUGGAGCUGAGACCAGUCGAAGAUACCAGCUGGCUGCAACUGUUUAUUAAAAACACAGCACUGUGCAAACACGAAAGUGGACGUAUACGGUGUGACGCCUGCCCGGUGCCGGAAGGUUAAUUGAUGGGGUUAUCCGUAAGGAGAAGCUCUUGAUCGAAGCCCCGGUAAACGGCGGCCGUAACUAUAACGGUCCUAAGGUAGCGAAAUUCCUUGUCGGGUAAGUUCCGACCUGCACGAAUGGCGUAAUGAUGGCCAGGCUGUCUCCACCCGAGACUCAGUGAAAUUGAACUCGCUGUGAAGAUGCAGUGUACCCGCGGCAAGACGGAAAGACCCCGUGAACCUUUACUAUAGCUUGACACUGAACAUUGAGCCUUGAUGUGUAGGAUAGGUGGGAGGCUUUGAAGCGUGGACGCCAGUCUGCGUGGAGCCAACCUUGAAAUACCACCCUUUAAUGUUUGAUGUUCUAACGUUGGCCCCUGACCGGGGUUGCGGACAGUGUCUGGUGGGUAGUUUGACUGGGGCGGUCUCCUCCCAAAGCGUAACGGAGGAGCACGAAGGUUAGCUAAUCCUGGUCGGACAUCAGGAGGUUAGUGCAAUGGCAUAAGCUAGCUUGACUGCGAGCGUGACGGCGCGAGCAGGUGCGAAAGCAGGUCAUAGUGAUCCGGUGGUUCUGAAUGGAAGGGCCAUCGCUCAACGGAUAAAAGGUACUCCGGGGAUAACAGGCUGAUACCGCCCAAGAGUUCAUAUCGACGGCGGUGUUUGGCACCUCGAUGUCGGCUCAUCACAUCCUGGGGCUGAAGUAGGUCCCAAGGGUAUGGCUGUUCGCCAUUUAAAGUGGUACGCGAGCUGGGUUUAGAACGUCGUGAGACAGUUCGGUCCCUAUCUGCCGUGGGCGCUGGAGAAUUGAGGGGGGCUGCUCCUAGUACGAGAGGACCGGAGUGGACGCAUCACUGGUGUUCGGGUUGUCAUGCCAAUGGCACUGCCCGGUAGCUAAAUGCGGAAGAGAUAAGUGCUGAAAGCAUCUAAGCACGAAACUUGCCCCGAGAUGAGUUCUCCCUGAGACUUUAAGUCUCCUGAAGGAACGUUAAAGACGAUGACGUUGAUAGGCCGGGUGUGUAAGCGCAGCGAUGCGUUGAGCUAACCGGUACUAAUGAACCGUGAGGCUUAACCUU